AACGAACGCUGGCGGCAUGCCUAACACAUGCAAGUCGAACGAGACCUUCGGGUCUAGUGGCGCACGGGUGCGUAACGCGUGGGAACCUGCCCUUAGGUUCGGAAUAACUCCCCGAAAGGGGUGCUAAUACCGGAUAAUGUCUUCGGACCAAAGAUUUAUCGCCUUUGGAUGGGCCGGCGUUGGAUUAGCUAGUUGGUAGGGUAAAAGCCUACCAAGGCGACGAUCCAUAGCUGGUCUGAGAGGAUGAUCAGCCACACUGGGACUGAGACACGGCCCAGACUCCUACGGGAGGCAGCAGUGGGGAAUAUUGGACAGUGGGCGAAAGCCUGAUCCAGCAAUGCCGCGUGAGUGAUGAAGGCCUUAGGGUUGUAAAGCUCUUUUACCCGGGAUGAUAAUGACAGUACCGGGAGAAUAAGCUCCGGCUAACUCCGUG
Molecule: ribosomal RNA, 433 nt
Filed under: uncultured bacterium
Lineage: Bacteria
Description: partial 16S ribosomal RNA
Rfam family: Bacterial small subunit ribosomal RNA
Source: RNAcentral